UGCUGCCCCACCCACUUACAGGACAUAAGCAGAGACCAAGAGCAAUGCAUGUCACUUUGGUCCUUCAGGACUGCUGAAGACAUUGGAUUGACACCAUGUUGAUCUUCCCUGUAUCUGUAGAGACUCCUCUUCCAUCCAGACCCUUGAAUGGAGCCUGCCAUGAGAGAAUGAACCCAAGCUGUGGAUAAGAUAAUUAAUGCAGGUGCUGUUUACCUAGCAUCAUCUUACCUUGGCUCAUGGUGACCCAAACCUCCGUGUAAAAUGAGAAAUCUUUCUACAGUCCAACUUACUUCCUAUGAGAAAUUGAAUGUGAAGGUCACUUCCUCAGGACUACUGAAGACUUUGAAAGGGACUAUGUUGGUCUUCCCUACGGAUGGAGGGUUUCCUGCGAUCUUAACCAUUCAACUGCCUCCUUCCCUGAAAGAAUUGAGCCAAGAUUCAGAUAAGAUUCUUCAGGCAGGACACAGAACAGCCAGACCUGCUGUACAGACGGCUUGCACUGCACACCGCCCCAGAUCGCUGCAUAUGCAGCCAGCAGCUGUUCAAAUAAACAGACAUGGCUCAGAAGGCUUGGGUCCUUCUCCAAUUAGCUCGUGCCUGCAUAUAAAAGAUUUGGAGAGUACUGCGGUGUUCUGAAUGGAAAAGAGAGAGAGUAAGAGAAAGGCACUAGAACUCUGAAUCAGGUAAGAAAAAAUACAGACACACACACACACACGCACAUGCACACACACACACACACACACACACACACACACACACACCCAGACACACUCACCUGAAUUUUAGUAACCAAAUAGAUAUCCUUGGUUUUCCUGAACUGCCAUUUUGAAUAGUUCCCAAGGAAUACAUGUAAAACACAAUUUUCAUUAUUACAAUUUCAACUAUCUUUGUUUACUAUGUCUUCUGAGAAGUCAGGACUCUCAGGAAAAACAAAACAGUAUAAGUAAUUAAGGAGAGUACAAGCAAAGGUUUUACACAACAAAAACAUACAGGAAAGGGAAGUAUGGA
This 1008-nucleotide long non-coding RNA is filed under the name Rattus norvegicus (Norway rat). Its description in RNAcentral is "long non-coding RNA NONRATT031577". The record is from RNAcentral. Lineage: Eukaryota; Metazoa; Chordata; Mammalia; Rodentia; Muridae.